This 460-nucleotide ribosomal RNA is filed under the name uncultured bacterium. Its description in RNAcentral is "bacterial SSU rRNA". It matches the Rfam family "Bacterial small subunit ribosomal RNA", at positions 340 to 788 of the family's 1533-position model. The record is from RNAcentral.
UACGGAAGGCAGCAGUAGGGAAUCUUCCGCAAUGGACGAAAGUCUGACGGAGCAACGCCGCGUGAACGAUGAAGGCUUUCGGGUCGUAAAGUUCUGUUGUUAGGGAAGACAAGUACCGGAGUAACUGCCGGUACCUUGACGGUACCUAACCAGAAAGCCACGGCUAACUACGUGCCAGCAGCCGCGGUAAUACGUAGGUGGCAAGCGUUGUCCGGAAUUAUUGGGCGUAAAGCGCGCGCAGGCGGUCCUUUUAAGUCUGAUGUGAAAGCCCACGGCUCAACCGUGGAGGGUCAUUGGAAACUGGGGACUUUGAGUGCAGAAGAGGAGAGUGGAAUUCCGACGUGUAGCGGUGAAAUGCGUAGAGAUGUGGAGGAACACCAGGUGGCGAAGGCGACUCUCUGGUCUGUAACUGACGCUGAGGCGCGAAAGCGUGGGGAGCGGAACAGGGAUUAGAUACCCG